UAAAGCUCUUCUCCAUCUUGCUAAGCCUCCAUUUGUCCGCAAUACCUCAUCUCCCUGGACGCAGGACAAGAACUCAGGACCCGCCUGGAGGUGCCCACAGCAGAAUCCACAUGCCGUCCAUCUGGUCCAGCCUCACGCAGAGCCACAACUGUGCUGGCGCCUGGAGCUGCCAGCCCCACUGCAGCAGCCGGACUGACAUUCAGACGUGGAGCAAGUUGGACUGCAUAGGGACCCACCAGUGAGAUGGACGCUGUCUGUAAACGGGGAAAUUUAUGGAAAGAUGUCCUCCUGCAACUGCUGAAAAUGCAACAUGCUGCCCAGGUCCUGCUCAGACCACUGACAACUCAGAAGUUAAUACUCAGAGUGGAAAGGUGAGUAAAGGCUGUUUAAUGACCACCCCAUGAAAAGAGUCAGAAUUACAUCCCUCUUGAUUCCUGUUUCUUUCUGAACAACAUAAAUGUAAUGUAAGCCAAGCUAAUACAUGCUGUUUUGUGGUAUAUAAUGGGUUUUCUGUAGCCAGAUGUGGCGCUGAUUAUUAUUUUUUUUCUGCAAACCUGUGUUACUUUCAGCGUAGCAAAGUGUAGUACAUGAGCAAGCGUUUCAAGCCAGACGGAGUUAAUCAUCUCUGUCACUGAAUUGGAGCUCACGGUCUGCUGGACAACUGUGCUGAGUGGAAAGGAAGCCUCGAUGGCUAAGUCACUUGUCCAACCUCAGACACUGGCAGAUCCAGGAUUCAAACAGCUAGACUCCAAAUGUGUUUCCUUUAACCUCUUUUCUACCUUUUCAACUUGAUUCCACACAUCACCACUGGGAAAGCUUAGAGUCCAACCUAUGACUACGUAGCCAAUAAAAGGGAAUGAAUCAUUGCAGGACAGUAUUUCCUGGCAUCGAGCUCUGUGCACCAGAGACCACGCUGCAAGCAGAUAGGAGCUGACUGACCUUAAGUGACUCUCAAUCUAAUAAAGUCAAGGCCAGAAAUUUUGGUCUAGCAACACUAAAGCCAGUGAUUUGGAAUUUCAGGUAAGUUGAAAGUAAUAAUUUGAUAAGCAUUUGGGGAUAUUGAGUAUCCCAUAUGAUGGAAUCAGGUUUCAAGCAAAUCAAAAAACAAAUGAAAAAAAACCCUACUUCACAAAAAGUAUUGCCUGCCAGGGUUAAUAAUAAUAUUAGCACAUUGGGGUGUGUGUGUUUGUGUUUGUGUGUGUGUGUGUGUAUGUGUGCCUUGCUCUUGUUAUUGCUAUAGGAAAUGAUUCAUUUUAGGCCAUUUUUCCCUUUUAUUAUCAUUUUUUGUUGAUACAGUUAAGCACCAGAAGUGCAAUACUUUCUGUGUUCUGAACAUUGUGUUGAAGAUUGCUGAUUUUUUCAAUUUUCUAAGAGUUUUGUCUUCCCAAUUCUUAUUGAUUUGCCAGUCUAUGAGACUGUGGAUGAAAAGAGCUUUGAAUAGUUCAUUCCAUGAAUCUAAAAGAAGAGCAAUAAAGAUCCCAUUUCCAAUUGAUGAGGAAGGCAUUCAGUAUAUGCUUCUGAAACAACUAUCUAGCAACCUAGAGCCAAAGAAAGUUAAAUCUUUACCUCAUACUUGAUACUAAAAGUAAUUACUGAUGAAUUAAAUAUAAAAUAUAAAAGCAUAAAAUAAUAAAAAUAUUAGUGAAAUUUUUAUAAAUUUUGGGCAUGAAAACUUUUUUAUAUAGGACAUCCAAAGCAGAUGUAAAAAUAAAAAUAUUUAUAAAUGUAAAUAUGUGAAUCAAAAUGUUACUAUGCAAACAUCAUGUAUUAGUCCAUUUUCAGGGAAAUGCAAAUCGAAACCACAAUGUGAUACAACCUUAC
Molecule: long non-coding RNA, 1821 nt
Filed under: Homo sapiens (human)
Lineage: Eukaryota; Metazoa; Chordata; Mammalia; Primates; Hominidae
Description: HSALNT0383285
Source: RNAcentral